CCCCAAUGUCACCCCAAUGUCCCCAAGGGUUAACAGGGACCCCAAUGUCACCCCAAUGUCCCCAAGGGGACCCCAAUGUCACCUCAGUGUCCCCAAGUUAGGGAUAAAGGGAGCCCAAUGUCACCCCAAUGUCCUCAAGGGUACCCCAAUGUCACCUCAGUGUCCCCAAGGGGUUAACAGGGACCCCAAGGUCACCCCAAUGUCCCCAAGUUAGGGAUAAAGGGACCCCAAUGUCACCCCAAUGUCCCCAAAGGGUGACAGGGACCCCAAUGUCACCCCAAUGUCUCCAGGGGGACCCCAAUGUCACCUCAGUGUUCCCAAGUUAGGGAUAAAGGGACCCCAAUGUCACCCCAAUGUCCCCAAGGGGAGGAACAGGGACCCCAAUAGGGUGUGCCCCCUGUCGGGGUGCUCAUUUUGGGGUCAGUACCCAUUUCGGGGUGCCCAUUUUUGGGGUCAGUGCCAGUUUUGGGGUCAGUGCCCCUUUUGGGGUCAGUACCCAUUUCGGGGUCAGUACACGGCCUCGUCGCCGUUGUCGUCGCUGUCGGGCCCGAAGCUCUCCCCGUUGUCGAAGUAGGAC
This 577-nucleotide long non-coding RNA is filed under the name Zonotrichia albicollis (white-throated sparrow). Its description in RNAcentral is "lncRNA (ENSZALG00000004552.1)". The record is from RNAcentral. Lineage: Eukaryota; Metazoa; Chordata; Aves; Passeriformes; Passerellidae.